RNAcentral lists this ribosomal RNA (593 nucleotides) under Toxoplasma gondii ME49. Its description in RNAcentral is "Toxoplasma gondii rRNA TGME49_458840". It matches the Rfam family "Eukaryotic small subunit ribosomal RNA", at positions 24 to 619 of the family's 1831-position model. The record is from RNAcentral. Lineage: Eukaryota; Apicomplexa; Conoidasida; Eucoccidiorida; Sarcocystidae.
UCAUAUGCUUGUCUUAAAGAUUAAGCCAUGCAUGUCUAAGUAUAAGCUUUUAUACGGCUAAACUGCGAAUGGCUCAUUAAAACAGUUAUAGUUUAUUUGAUGGUCUUUACUACAUGGAUAACCGUGGUAAUUCUAUGGCUAAUACAUGCGCACAUGCCUCUUCCCCUGGAAGGGCAGUGUUUAUUAGAUACAGAACCAACCCACCUUCCGGUGGUCCUCAGGUGAUUCAUAGUAACCGAACGGAUCGCGUUGACUUCGGUCUGCGACGGAUCAUUCAAGUUUCUGACCUAUCAGCUUUCGACGGUACUGUAUUGGACUACCGUGGCAGUGACGGGUAACGGGGAAUUAGGGUUCGAUUCCGGAGAGGGAGCCUGAGAAACGGCUACCACAUCUAAGGAAGGCAGCAGGCGCGCAAAUUACCCAAUCCUGAUUCAGGGAGGUAGUGACAAGAAAUAACAACACUGGAAAUUUCAUUUCUAGUGAUUGGAAUGAUAGGAAUCCAAACCCCUUUCAGAGUUACAUUUGUAGGGCAAGUCUGGUGCCAGCAGCCGCGGUAUUCCAGCUCCCAUAGCGUAUAUUAAAGUUGUUGCAGU